Molecule: ribosomal RNA, 597 nt
Filed under: Halitholus sp. PS-2018
Lineage: Eukaryota; Metazoa; Cnidaria; Hydrozoa; Anthoathecata; Pandeidae
Description: partial 16S ribosomal RNA
Rfam family: Bacterial large subunit ribosomal RNA
Source: RNAcentral
GCCCUCGUAAUAAUCGAAGGUGCAACCUGCCCAAUGAUUUUUAAACUAAUAAAAAUAACAUUUUUAUAAGAAAAUUUAAAGGACGCAGUAUCUUGACUGUGGUAAUGUAGCAUAAUCACUCGCCAUUUAAUUGAUGGAUAGUAUGAAUGGUUAAACGAAUUUCACACUGUCUUUAAUAAAAUACUCAUGAAAUUAAAAUAAUAGUUAAGAUGCUAUUUAAAACUGUAAGACGAAAAGACCCUAUAGAGCUUAACUACAUUUUCUUUUAAAAAAUAGAAAUAAAAAAAUUCUUAACAUAAAGAAAAAGGUAGUUUAGUUGGGGCGACUAUCUUCUAUAAAUAACGAAGACAAGCAAUGUUAAUAAUAAAUUUAUUGUAUAAUACAUCAAUUUAACAAUUAUGAAAAUAGGCUAUAAUGACCCAUUAAGAUUAAGUAAUAAACUUAAUGAUCAAUAAAUAAAAGCUACCUUAGGGAUAACAGGAUAAUUUUGUUUUAGAGAUCAAAUCGAAAACAAAGUUUGUCACCUCUAUGUUGAAUUAAGAUAUCCUGAUAGUGCAGAAGCCAUCAAAGGUAGGUCUGUUCGACCUUUAAAAUCUU